GACGAACGCUGGCGGUGUGCUUAACACAUGCAAGUCGAACGGAGCGAAAUGGAAGCUUGCCUCUAUGGAGCUUAGUGGCGAACGGGUGAGUAACGCGUAAAUCAACCUGCCCUUCAGAGGGGGACAACAGUUGGAAACGACUGCUAAUACCGCAUACGAUUCAACUUCGGCAUCGAGGAUGAAUGAAAGGUGGCCUCUAUUUAUAAGCUAUCGCUGAAGGAGGGGAUUGCGUCUGAUUAGCUAGUUGGAGGGGUAACGGCCCACCAAGGCGAUGAUCAGUAGCCGGUCUGAGAGGAUGAACGGCCACAUUGGGACUGAGACACGGCCCAGACUCCUACGGAGGCAGCGAGUGGGGAAUCUUCCGCAAUGGACGAAAGUCUGACGGAGCAACGCCGCGCGAAGUGAUGACGGCCUC
Molecule: ribosomal RNA, 415 nt
Filed under: uncultured bacterium
Lineage: Bacteria
Description: bacterial SSU rRNA
Rfam family: Bacterial small subunit ribosomal RNA
Source: RNAcentral